Molecule: ribosomal RNA, 253 nt
Filed under: uncultured bacterium
Lineage: Bacteria
Description: partial 16S ribosomal RNA
Rfam family: Bacterial small subunit ribosomal RNA
Source: RNAcentral
UACGGAGGGUGCAAGCGUUGUUCGGAAUCAUUGGGCGUAAAGCGCGUGUAGGCGGCUUGGUAAGUCGGGUGUGAAAUCCCGGGGCCCAACCCCGGAACUGCAUUCGAAACUGCCUCGCUAGAGUCCCGGAGAGGAAGGCGGAAUUCCCGGUGUAGAGGUGAAAUUCGUAGAUAUCGAGAGGAAUACCUGCGGCGAAAGCGGCCUUCUGGACGAACACUGACGCUGAGAUGCGAAAGCGUGGGGAGCAAACAGG